This 497-nucleotide ribosomal RNA is filed under the name uncultured bacterium. RNAcentral describes it as "partial 16S ribosomal RNA". It matches the Rfam family "Bacterial small subunit ribosomal RNA", at positions 28 to 507 of the family's 1533-position model. The record is from RNAcentral.
GAUGAACGCUGGCGGCGUGCCUAAUACAUGCAAGUCGAGCGAACAGACGAGGAGCUUGCUCCUCUGACGUUAGCGGCGGACGGGUGAGUAACACGUGGAUAACCUACCUAUAAGACUGGGAUAACUUCGGGAAACCGGAGCUAAUACCGGAUAAUAUAUUGAACCGCAUGGUUCAAUAGUGAAAGACGGUUUUGCUGUCACUUAUAGAUGUAUCCGCGCCGCAUUAGCGAGUUGGUAAGGUAACGGCUUACCAAGGCAACGAUGCGUAGCCGACCUGAGAGGGUGAUAGGCCACCCUGGAACGGAGACACGGUCCAGACUCCUACGGGAGGCAGCAGUAGGGAAUCUUCCGCAAUGGGCGAAAGCCUGACGGAGCAACGCCGCGUGAGUGAUGAAGGUCUUCGGAUCGUAAAACUCUGUUAUUAGGGAAGAACAAAUGUGUAAGUAACUAUGCACGUCUUGACGGUACCUAAUCAGAAAGCCACGGCUAACUACGUG